CCUACGGGUGGCUGCAGUGGGGAAUUUUGGACAAUGGGCGCAAGCCUGAUCCAGCCAUGCCGCGUGAGUGAAGAAGGCCUUCGGGUUGUAAAGCUCUUUCAGCCGGAAAGAAAACGCACGGGAUAAUACCCUGUGUGGAUGACGGUACCGGAAGAAGAAGCACCGGCUAACUACGUGCCAGCAGCCGCGGUAAUACGUAGGGUGCGAGCGUUAAUCGGAAUUACUGGGCGUAAAGCGUGCGCAGGCGGUUUUGUAAGACAGAUGUGAAAUCCCCGGGCUUAACCUGGGAACUGCAUUUGUAACUGCAAGGCUAGAGUACGGCAGAGGGGGGUAGAAUUCCACGUGUAGCAGUGAAAUGCGUAGAUAUGUGGAGGAAUACCGAUGGCGAAGGCAGCCCCCUGGGUCGAUACUGACGCUCAUGCACGAAAGCGUGGGGAGCAAACAGGCUUAGAUACCCCUGUAGUC
Molecule: ribosomal RNA, 465 nt
Filed under: uncultured beta proteobacterium
Lineage: Bacteria; Pseudomonadati; Pseudomonadota; Betaproteobacteria
Description: bacterial SSU rRNA
Rfam family: Bacterial small subunit ribosomal RNA
Source: RNAcentral